AGAGUUUGAUCCUGGCUCAGAACGAACGCUGGCGGCAGGCCUAACACAUGCAAGUCGAGCGCACCUUCGGGUGAGCGGCGGACGGGUUAGUAACGCGUGGGAACAUACCCUUUUCUACGGAAUAGCCUCGGGAAACUGAGAGUAAUACCGUAUAAGCCCUUCGGGGGAAAGAUUUAUCGGGAAAGGAUUGGCCCGCGUUAGAUUAGAUAGUUGGUGGGGUAAUGGCCUACCAAGUCUACGAUCUAUAACUGGUUUUAAAGGAUGAUCAGCAACACUGGGACUGAGACACGGCCCAGACUCCUACGGGAGGCAGCAGUGGGGAAUCUUAGACAAUGGGCGCAAGCCUGAUCUAGCCAUGCCGCGUGUGUGAUGAAGGUCUUAGGAUCGUAAAGCACUUUCACCAGGGAUGAUAAUGACAGUACCUGGUAAAGAAACCCCGGCUAACUCCGUGCCAGCAGCCGCGGUAAUACGGAGGGGGUUAGCGUUGUUCGGAAUUACUGGGCCUGAAGCGUACGUAGGCGGAUUGGAAAGUUGGGGGUGAAAUCCCAGGGCUCAACCCUGGAACUGCCUCCAACACUAUCAGUCUAGAGUUCGAGAGAGGUGAGUGGAAUUCCAAGUGUAGAGGUGAAAUUCGUAGAUAUUUGGAGGAACACCAGUGGCGAAGGCGGCUCACUGGCUCGAUACUGACGCUGAGGUACGAAAGUGUGGGGAGCAAACAGGAUUAGAUACCCUGGUAGUCCACACCGUAAACGAUGAAUGCCAGUCGUCGGGCAGUAUACUGUUCGGUGACACACCUACGGAUUAAGCAUUCCGCCUGGGGAGUACGGUCGCAAGAUUAAAACUCAAAGGAAUUGACGG
RNAcentral lists this ribosomal RNA (858 nucleotides) under uncultured marine bacterium. RNAcentral's name for it is "bacterial SSU rRNA". It matches the Rfam family "Bacterial small subunit ribosomal RNA", at positions 8 to 916 of the family's 1533-position model. The record is from RNAcentral.